Molecule: ribosomal RNA, 397 nt
Filed under: uncultured bacterium
Lineage: Bacteria
Description: bacterial SSU rRNA
Rfam family: Bacterial small subunit ribosomal RNA
Source: RNAcentral
GACGAACGCUGGCGGCGUGCUUAACACAUGCAAGUCGAGCGGUAAGGCCCCUUCGGGGGUACACGAGCGGCGAACGGGUGAGUAACACGUGGGUGACCUGCCCUCAGCUCUGGGAUAAGCCUGGGAAACUGGGUCUAAUACCGGAUAUGACUCCAUGACGCAUGUCGUGGGGUGGAAAGCCUUGUGCGGCUGGGGAUGGGCCCGCGGCCUAUCAGCUUGUUGGUGGGGUGANGGCCUACCAAGGCGACGACGGGUAGCCGGCCUGAGAGGGCGACCGGCCACACUGGGACUGAGACACGGCCCAGACUCCUACGGGAGGCAGCAGUGGGGAAUCUUGCGCAAUGGACGAAAGUCUGACGCAGCAACGCCGCGUGAGGGAUGACGGCCUGGUGUAACU